This 356-nucleotide transfer-messenger RNA is filed under the name Aurantimonas sp. Leaf443. RNAcentral's name for it is "Alphaproteobacteria transfer-messenger RNA". It matches the Rfam family "Alphaproteobacteria transfer-messenger RNA". Rfam says of the family: Bacterial tmRNA, also known as 10Sa RNA or SsrA, is named for its dual tRNA and mRNA-like properties. Its role is to liberate the mRNA from a stalled ribosome. The record is from Rfam by way of RNAcentral. Lineage: Bacteria; Pseudomonadati; Pseudomonadota; Alphaproteobacteria; Hyphomicrobiales; Aurantimonadaceae.
CGUCUUUUCACCGGGAGGGCGACCCCCUAUAUUCCCUCUCGCCGGCGCAAGCCGGAUAUGGCGAUAAACGGCCGAUGUAAUAAACCUUUCGGACCCGGGGGCAGUACCCGGCGCCUCCACCUGAACCGCCCGGCCGGGCGUUUGAGGCGGGGGCGAAGCAGGAUCGACGAGGGCGUAAAGAUCGGACUUUUGCUCGGCAUUGUACCGCCGUUAUCGGGCUGAAAAAGUAGUUGCCAACGACAACUAUGCGGAAGCGCGUCUCGCAGCCUAAGGCUGUGCGAUAGCUUCAAAUCAAGCCCUAGGGGUUCGCACUUCUAGGCGGGGCUCGGAGGCGCCUGGCAACAGAAGCCUCCACU